Molecule: ribosomal RNA, 448 nt
Filed under: uncultured bacterium
Lineage: Bacteria
Description: bacterial SSU rRNA
Rfam family: Bacterial small subunit ribosomal RNA
Source: RNAcentral
ACUCCUACGGGAGGCAGCAGUGGGGAAUAUUGGACAAUGGGCGAAAGCCUGAUCCAGCCAUGCCGCGUGUGUGAAGAAGGUCUUCGGAUUGUAAAGCACUUUAAGUUGGGAGGAAGGGCCAUUACCUAAUACGUGAUGGUUUUGACGUUACCGACAGAAUAAGCACCGGCUAACUCUGUGCCAGCAGCCGCGGUAAUACAGAGGGUGCAAGCGUUAAUCGGAAUUACUGGGCGUAAAGCGCGCGUAGGUGGUUUGUUAAGUUGGAUGUGAAAUCCCCGGGGCUCAACCUGGGAACUGCAUUCAAAACUGACUGACUAGAGUAUGGUAGAGGGUGGUGGAAUUUCCUGUGUAGCGGUGAAAUGCGUAGAUAUAGGAAGGAACACCAGUGGCGAAGGCGACCACCUGGACUGAUACUGACACUGAGGUGCGAAAGCGUGGGGAGCAAACA